This 201-nucleotide long non-coding RNA is filed under the name Lathyrus oleraceus (garden pea). RNAcentral's name for it is "Pisum sativum (pea) long non-coding RNA (PSAT_LNC037539)". The record is from RNAcentral. Lineage: Eukaryota; Viridiplantae; Streptophyta; Magnoliopsida; Fabales; Fabaceae.
UUCAGCAGAGUAAGAUCGAUUUCCCCGACAGAUCGUGUUGGUUUCUCCGCCAGUAGCCAUCUAACUCACUCCUAGUUAGAGUUUCCUCAUGGUUUUUAAGCAGCUAUUUGUGUUUUCCUCUGUAUGGUUGUCGCCCAUUUGAUAUGGUUUUGACCUAAAAUUCCCUGCAGAUGUGAUAAUAUUUCCUUUCCUCAGUAGAUC